Molecule: long non-coding RNA, 905 nt
Organism: Passer montanus (Eurasian tree sparrow)
Lineage: Eukaryota; Metazoa; Chordata; Aves; Passeriformes; Passeridae
Exons: 4
Source: RefSeq, a predicted model, not a curated record
CGCGCCCCCCGAGGGCCUGCGCAGGCCCGGGCCGACCCCCGCGGACAGCACGGGCUCGGGGGCGCUUCUUGCCCCGGGGCCGGGCACCGAGGUGGAGGAAGAUGCCGGGUCCUGUGAGUUUGGAGGUCUCUGUCAAAUUUGGAAGGAUUGUGCCUUGCACUGCUGCAAUAAAAGUCACAAACCCAGAGACAUGAACUCCCCUGGCCUAAACCUGGCUUUGCUGGCAGAACCCAGCUUUAAUAGGUUUAAUAAACCUAUUAGUAGGUUUAUUUAGUAGGUUUAAUAAACUUACAUGAGGAUUAGUACUUCUAAACAUGAUAUGCAGCAAAACUGCAAGCAGAGAUGCCUUUUAUUCCUAAAUCACCAAGCCCCAAUGACGUGAAACAUUCAGAAAAUCUAAGGCUGAAGCACAGAGAUACCCAUUAAAGGAGAGCUUAUAUAAUCUCAAUUUAAUUCUUCUUCUAUUGCCGUGAGUUUAGAUGUGGAAUAACGUGAGUGGUUCAGGCCAAUAUGAAAAAUGAAAUCUAAGCCUCCACACCCAUCUUCAAGGUGGAUGGAGAGUCAUAUUCUUUAGUGCCAGCAGAUGGCAUCCAUACACUUUGGGAUCCCUGCUUCACACUUCCCACUGCAGCAACGCAACAUUUUCCUUUCAUUGGAGGAGCCCGAGUCUCUCACACGAGAAUAUCUCCCAAACUGUUUCUCCGCAUACCUCUGCUGAAAAAGGAUUACCUGGCAAACUGAGCAGAGAAAAGGUGCACAUGAAGAUCUGAGAUGUUCCUUCCUUCAGUGCUACAGCUAAUAAAGAUGCAGCAGAGAGCAACAUGUUAGAAAAGCUGAGUUUGAACUUCCUGCUGAUGGUGGUGCUGUAGGAGUGUUACAGCAUUAUGGUAGUUCCUGAAUUUUGG